RNAcentral lists this ribosomal RNA (262 nucleotides) under uncultured bacterium. Its description in RNAcentral is "partial 16S ribosomal RNA". It matches the Rfam family "Bacterial small subunit ribosomal RNA", at positions 92 to 354 of the family's 1533-position model. The record is from RNAcentral.
UUAGUGGCGGACGGGUGAGUAACGCGUGGGUAACCUGCCGUAUACAGGGGGAUAACACUUAGAAAUAGGUGCUAAAACCGCAUAAGCGCACAGCGCCGCAUGGCGCAGUGUGAAAAACUCCGGUGGUAUACGAUGGACCCGCGUCUGAUUAGCCAGUUGGCAGGGUAACGGCCUACCAAAGCGACGAUCAGUAGCCGGCCUGAGAGGGUGGACGGCCACAUUGGGACUGAGACACGGCCCAAACUCCUACGGAAGGCAGCAG